This is a small nucleolar RNA of Otolemur garnettii (small-eared galago), 131 nucleotides long. NCBI's taxonomy places the organism in Eukaryota, Metazoa, Chordata, Mammalia, Primates, Galagidae. The record is from Ensembl.
AGCCUCUCUCUCUUGGGGCUGUGGAGGGACCCGUUUCUCCUCAGCCAAGGAUGGAGGCCAACAUCAGCUGCUGAGCACCAUUGUCGGGACCACCAUGAGCAGGCAGUGUUGUUUUCCUGCCUCAGACAUUU